GGCAACCCUGACGGAGCAACGCCGCGUGGGGGAGGAAGGUCUGUGGAUUGUAAACUCCUUUUCUCUAGGAAGAAGUUCUGACGGUACUAGAGGAAUCAGCAUCGGCUAACUCCGUGCCAGCAGCCGCGGUAAGACGGAGGAUGCAAGCGUUAUCCGGAAUUAUUGGGCGUAAAGCGUCCGUAGGCGGUUUUUCAAGUCUGCCGUUAAAGACUACAGCUUAACUGUGGGCCGGCGGUGGAAACUGAGGAACUUGAGUAUGGUAGGGGUAGAGGGAAUUCCCAGUGUAGCGGUGAAAUGCGUAGAGAUUGGGAAGAACACCGGUGGCGAAAGCGCUCUACUGGGCUGCAACUGACGCUGAGGGACGAAAGCUAGGGUAGCG
RNAcentral lists this ribosomal RNA (379 nucleotides) under uncultured cyanobacterium. RNAcentral describes it as "bacterial SSU rRNA". It matches the Rfam family "Bacterial small subunit ribosomal RNA", at positions 376 to 770 of the family's 1533-position model. Lineage: Bacteria; Bacillati; Cyanobacteriota. The record is from RNAcentral.